GGAUAACAGUUGGAAACGACUGCUAAUACCGCAUACGCCCUACGGGGGAAAGGAGGGGACCUUCGGGCCUUCCGCGAAUGGAUAAGCCCAGGUGGGAUUAGCUAGUAGGUGGGGUAAUGGCUCACCUAGGCGACGAUCCCUAGCUGUUCUGAGAGGAUGAUCAGCCACACUGGGACUGAGACACGGCCCAGACUCCUACGGGAGGCAGCAGUGGGGAAUAUUGCACAAUGGGCGAAAGCUUGAUGCAGCCAUGCCGUGUUGGUGAAGAAGGCCUUCGGGUUGUAAAGCACUUUCAGCGAGGAGGAAAGGUUACUGGCUAAUAUCCAGUAGCUGUGA
Molecule: ribosomal RNA, 336 nt
Filed under: Shewanella sp. EF3B-B536
Lineage: Bacteria; Pseudomonadati; Pseudomonadota; Gammaproteobacteria; Alteromonadales; Shewanellaceae
Description: bacterial SSU rRNA
Rfam family: Bacterial small subunit ribosomal RNA
Source: RNAcentral